UUAAUGUUUAUCUUUACAGUGAAGAUGAGUUCGAUAUUGUGGCAUUAUCAUCAACUCCGUCACAGACGACUCAAGACCUACGACAGCAACUCUUGAAAGAUGGCUUCCGGUUAGAUGAGGUCCCUGAUGACGAAGAGCUUGACUUGAUUCCACCUCGACCGAUGGUUGACCGAUGCGCAUGCUGCCAAGCGCAAGCUAACUGCACAAUACAAUGACACGCAUCAAGUCCAUAUUGGACCCUUCCCCCCACGACACGCCCCCUUCUUAUUUAUAAAUAGAUAUGGAAAUAGAUGUGAAUAUGUAUAUUUCUUCAACUGCGGAAAAUAAUCACUUCACUGGAUCGUGUUGAAUCCAAGCAAUGAAGAAAAACGGACUUGGCAAAGAGAAAUGGUUGAUCCGAGGAAUAUUGAAUUAUGGUUGUGCAAGAGAUAUUAUUGGUAUAUAUCAUGGAUUAAGAAUGUGUAUAUCAAUAUUGUUUUCACAUAGAGGUGUGUUGAAAGUCUAUUUUAUGAUGGUGCACAUGUGUAUAUUGAAAUGCAGCAAUCAUUUUUAUUUUAAUGUGUUAUGCCAAUUGUGUGUAUUGCAUUUCUGACUAUAUGUAAUAUUUAUGCCAAAUAUAUGUUUCUUUCUCUUUCAAUUUAUUUUCACUGUCCUUAUCAGUUUGUCAAGAUAAGGAAACAUUGGUUUCCUAUGUGUAUUCAUGUUUUGUUUUUAUAAGUUGUCUACUUUCUACCGGUACCUUAAAAAUUGACUUAUUACUUUAUGUCUAUAAGCUUCAAUUACAUUAUUUAUGCUAAAUUAUUUGUUUUUUUUUAAUUUUACCCAUAUAUAAAUCUGGAAGAAUUUCUGUCCAUGCUAGAAAUGUACUCUAUUAUUUAUUCCUGCUUUUACUUUGUAAUACUUUAUUCACAUCAUUCAUAAUAGAAUAUGAAAGUGUAGCAGUUCUCCUAUACAUGUGAAAUACUGUCAGGAAAAAAAAGUUCUAGCUUGGAACCCAGAAUAAGAGAGAUUGUCGUUGCUUAUACAAGUAACACUGUUUGAUAAGAUUCCAAGAAAACCGGAUGCAUAGUUCUUUUGAUGUACUAGUUUUGUUUAGUAUUUUAAAUAUAUAUACUUUCCCAUGGAGUGUCAUCUCCAAUACGAACGAAACAUGUACCUCUUGUUCUAUCCAAAGAGCUCACCGACAGCUUUUUACCUCGAAACCCUAUCCUUGAAUUAUAAAUAUUUUGUCUUGCUUCCACUACAGCUUAUAUUGCUUCUAAACACCGGACAUGGGACACUUAAGCAUUUUGCCGAUCAGAUUUCAGCCGAACGUUUUAACGUUGAAGAGUGGUGGAGACAUAAUUUGAUUUCUACCUCUCCUCUGACGCAUCCGGGGAGCUACGAUCGGUUGGUUUGAUGACCGCUGUUGCAGAAAUACAAUGAUUAUCUUGUUUAUAAGGAACUGGAAAUCACAGGAUAGUGAGCAAGUUCAUGCUGACAAAAAUGCCAAAUGGCCUGAUGUUGCUAUAUACGUGUAUAGCAGCUUUGUGCAAGAUUGACAAUGGCAUUAGAAACUGCCAUUCCCUACAGAUGCUAUACUACAAUAUUUAAAUUAUUAGAAGGCUAUUAUCAAAGAGAGAAAACAGGCUCUUUCUUCAUGUUAAUAUUGAUCAUGUCCACGUGAGAUGACGGCCCUCUCACAUUGUGUGUGUGAAUGACCGCUGAAGAUAUCGCUGUUACUCCUUUCAAAGCCUGGUGACACAAAACUCCAUAACUGAUCACAUAGCUGACUUUAUGAUCGAUUCCUGUUAUUAUCAUUUGCAUUCAAUCAUGUGAGUGACUCGUGUGAUCAAUUACUAUGUUUUGUGUUUACUGGCUCCCCUGGACUAUUGAGACUUUAGGUGUAAUGAGUUACAAAAAAGCUUAACCAAAACACUCCACUGCUGAGAUCCAAUGUUGACCACCUGGGAAACAGAUAUGAUCAUUCAUCUCGCGGUCACAAUCAUUUACCAUUCUCUCAAUGUAUUUGUGUGAAUAAUUAGAUUCCCUCUGCCAGUAUCAUGUUUCAUGUUCGUUACUCCCAGUUAGCUUAUCAUACAUACCAUCUAUGUGUUAGAGAAUGGGCAUGAAUGAACAAAUCUUUAAUCAGCAUGUCUAUCAAAAUAAUCAAGCAUGGCUUUCCAUAUCUGUGGUAAUGUGAGUUUUUCAUCUCUCUUUCUUUGACUUGCUUUUUUUUAUUCAUCUCAUUGGAGGGUUUGUAUGAAUAAAAAUGCUGCAAUAUAAUAUCUUGCGUUAAGAUUUGCUUAAACAUUCUUUUUGUUUAAAGCCCUUGUAUUGUAUUUUAGUUAACUUUAGGAUUAGGUUAGUACGUUGUCUAGGGUUUUAAGCAAAAUGAUCGAUUGUAAUAGAAAUAAUUACUGCCAAGUAAUUGUGAAUGGAGCAUAGGUAUCAGUCAGAUAACACAGUUGACCAAUUGGUCACUCUAAUAUUCACCAAGAAAUACUACCUUCGUAUGGUUCAAUACAAUCUUAUCAGCAAUCAUUUGUGCAAUAGAUACAGUACUGCUGACCAGUUUCUAUUUUGAAUGUUUGCCAAAUCAGUUGACGUAUGCAAGGUGUCUGACAUUUGGAAUUCAAAAGAAAAUGGUGUUGCAAAGUGCAGGGCUGUGUUCAUGUUAAACUCCUAAGAUAUCUGUCUGUGUGGCAUUAGCACUUGCUCUAGGUGUCUUACCAGAAAUCAGAGCCACUUUUAUACCUUCUUAGCAUGUAUCUUAAUCAGUCCUUUUUUCUAUUCUAGUCCUCCCAUUUCAACGUUUAGAAGACAAAACCAAAAAUUGCUCUGACUUUAGGUAAGUUCCUUACAGAAUAUUCAUCUUGUGUCUCGACAUUCCUCUGGAAUUGCAUUUAAGAGUAAGAUUGACACCACUCUUUAUGGAAAAAAUUUGUGUAUAAUGUGCAUUCUGACUUAAAUGCUGUCAGUUACUCAACCCAAAAUGCUUUAAAAAUUCAUUAUACCAUACCACAUCCAUACCAAUAUAGUAAGAAUAAUGAAUUGCCCUUUCAUAGAAAGUGAAAAGUGGAAUGCAAAACACAUAUGCAUGUAUUGUAUCUAUGAUAUUUUUAAUGGUUUCAUCAGCUAUAAAUUACUUCCACACUUGUAGAGGUGCACCAACUUGGAAUUACCAUACAUUAGUUUGAAGCAUUCAAUCAAAUCUGUUUCCUCAUAUCUGUGUUCACUCAUUAACUACGAGAAUUAGGUCACCUAUGUUAAGUAGAGAACAUAGAAAUCAAAAGAGGAGUAUGUUUCUAUACUAAUCUGAUGAACAUGCUGUGAAUGCAUGGAGAACAUGACUGCUGCAGGUGUCUUCUUCAAAUCCUUCAAAUCGACAGUGACGCACCCAUGUACGCUUUCUACUCGAUGACAAUGGUGAAACAAGAACCUGACAGAAAGAAGCCAUUACUUAAAGACGUCCCACUAUGCCGUACCUGUACGCCUUGAGGGCAAUCAAUGUUAAAAGUGAAACUAAAAGUCACAGAGCGAAAUGGAGGUUUCAAAUGUAAUGUCCCUGACCAUCACAAAUUUAUCCCUGUGCUAGAUUUCUCCUCUUUCCAUUCCAUCUUGACUGCACCAAAAGAUUUGUGAAUUGCAGCUAUAAAGGACUUCUGUUUUCCCUGAAGUGAACGGUAGUGACUUCAAUGUAUUGCAUUCCCUUAUUUAUGUAUGUUGUAAUUUAUAUGUUAAGCCUACCUAUUUAUUGAAAUGAGGUGAUUUACUAAUGCUCCACAUCUACUUGAAAGUGAACCUUUUAAAAGAUUGUACAUGUAGUUGUGAGAGGAAAUGUGAUAAACAUUUUGAAAUUCUGUUUACUACACUCAAUCACACACAAUCUCACCCAGGGGCUGGAAAAUUUGACAAGCAAAAAAAAAAUAUAUAUAUGUAUAUAUAUUCUCGUCCAAAAUAAAUGUUUUUAUUUCGAUUUUGAAAAUGAUGUAUUUCUUUCCAUCAGAAAAUAUCAGAAAUAGUAGGGGGGACAUUUGAUAUUGUGUCCCCCCUACUAUUUUGGGUGGGGGGACACGUCCCCCCUGGGAUUUCCGCCCAUGAUCACACAUGUGUAAAGAAUUUUGUAUCGAUUGCUGUUUGGGUUCAUAUUGUACAUGCAAACCUUGAACUAAAACAGUUGGCUGUAAUUUAGUACCAUGACAUCUGGGUAUAGAUACAUUGAAUGUUGUCUUCUCGCAAAUACAUGGGAAAUAAUCGCAUCUCUUUCUCUCCUUAUUGUCUCUCUAUUUCACUCCAUCUCUCUUGCUUUGUCUUGCUGUCUCUUCUCUCUCUCUCCUCUCUUUCUCUCUCUCUUUACCCCCUGGGUACACAUUCUGUGACAUGAUAGAUAGGAAAAGAUGAUGGUUAAAGGCAUCUACAAAUUAUCCAUUAGACCCGGGCAUGAUCUGAGAAAUAGUGGCCUAGUUUUUUCGGUCUCAACAUUUAUGGAAUAUUUAUCAUAGACAGGUGGCAUUUGUUUUCUCUAUGGACUUGUCUGUGAAUGUCUUGCUAUCCACGAGGGAUAAAACAAGAGCGAUGAUACAGGAGAGUCGGGUAGUCCAUGCCUGCAGAAAUAUCAGGACACUUAAGCUAGGUAGGAUCAUUUAAGAAUGAUCGUUUAACCCCUGCAUGACUAGGAUCAAACCACAUUUAUUUUUACUUCAUAUAGGUCGGAAUAAAAAAAAAGACAAAUUUUUUUAAAUCUUGUGGAACAAUUUUCCUUUUUUGCUUUUACUGAUGAUGGAAUAAUAGCACUUGUGUAAGUUAUGUUUUGUAGGAGUACUUUGUUAAAAGUUCAGUGAAAAUGGUAUUCACUUGUGUAUCUGGUUUGUUGAACACUUAUUUUGAGACAAGUUAAAUUGUUCUCAUUGAUUUAUGCGUCACUGUGUGUAUACUGCUAACCUUCAUUUUCUAUUGAGUAGCUUCCUUUCUGCUUCUAAGAAUGUUUGUACCCAGUAUCUUAAAAAUUAAUAUCAUUAUUAAGCAUUGAAAACAGAACAAAAUUAUAGUUUUGAAUGCCAAGUGUGUAUGAUGUUAUUUCAUCAAUUACUUGCUUUCAACUGACCAAGUCACAUUAUG
Molecule: long non-coding RNA, 5100 nt
Organism: Lytechinus pictus (painted urchin)
Lineage: Eukaryota; Metazoa; Echinodermata; Echinoidea; Temnopleuroida; Toxopneustidae
Exons: 3
Source: RefSeq, a predicted model, not a curated record